GAUGAACGCUGGCGGCGUGCCUAAUACAUGUAAGUCGAGCGAACGGACGAGAAGCUUGCUUCUCUGAUGUUAGCGGCGGACGGGUGAGUAACACGUGGAUAACCUACCUAUAAGACUGGGAUAACUUCGGGAAACCGUAGCUAAUACCGGAUAAUAUUUUGAACCGCAUGGUUCAAAAGUGAAAGACGGUCUUGCUGUCACUUAUAGAUGGAUCCGCGCUGCAUUAGCUAGUUGGUAAGGUAACGGCUUACCAAGGCAACGAUGCAUAGCCGACCUGAGAGGGUGAUCGGCCACACUGGAACUGAGACACGGUCCAGACUCCUACGGGAGGCAGCAGCAGGGAAUCUUCCGCAAUGGGCGAAAGCCUGACGUGGCAACGCCGCGUGAGUGAUGAAGGUCUUCGGAUCGUAAAACUCUGUUAUUAGGGAAGAACAUAUGUGUAAGUAACUGUGCACAUCUUGACGGUACCUAAUCAGAAAGCCACGGCUAACUACGUG
This 497-nucleotide ribosomal RNA is filed under the name uncultured bacterium. RNAcentral describes it as "partial 16S ribosomal RNA". It matches the Rfam family "Bacterial small subunit ribosomal RNA", at positions 28 to 507 of the family's 1533-position model. The record is from RNAcentral.